RNAcentral lists this long non-coding RNA (316 nucleotides) under Olea europaea (common olive). RNAcentral's name for it is "long non-coding RNA (OEUR_LNC007824)". The record is from RNAcentral. Lineage: Eukaryota; Viridiplantae; Streptophyta; Magnoliopsida; Lamiales; Oleaceae.
GGGUCACACACAAAAGAGAAUUAGAAGAUUGCAAAUUGCCAAUUGGUUUAUUUAACAAUCGUUGGAUAAAUUAAUUAAUUGGAUUUGUUAUUUAUAUUUUCGAAUUAAUUAAUUGGAUUAAUUAAUUCACAGACCGGAUUUAAUUAAUUGGAUUAAUUAAUUAUUGGACCGGACCGGGCCGAGCCUAUUUGGGUUUAUAUAAAUACAUAACUAGGGUUUGAGGUCCAAUAAGGUUUUCAUUAUUCUUGCUGGCACAAGAGAAAACCCUAGAGGCUGCAAUCAUAUUCUCUGUGUGGAUCACCGUUGGAGGCUGGAC